This 497-nucleotide ribosomal RNA is filed under the name uncultured bacterium. RNAcentral's name for it is "partial 16S ribosomal RNA". It matches the Rfam family "Bacterial small subunit ribosomal RNA", at positions 28 to 507 of the family's 1533-position model. The record is from RNAcentral.
GAUGAACGCUGGCGGCGUGCCUAAUACAUGCAAGUCGAGCGAACGGACGAGAAGCUUGCUUCUCUGAUGUUAGCGGCGGACGGGUGAGUAACACGUGGAUAACCUACCUAUAAGACUGGGAUAACUUCGGGAAACCGGAGCUAAUACCGGAUAAUAUUUUGAACCGCAUGGUUCAAAAGUGAAAGACGGUCUUGCUGUCACUUAUAGAUGGAUCCGCGCUGCAUUAGCUAGUUGGUAAGGUAACGGCUUACCAAGGCAACGAUGCAUAGCCGACCUGAGAGAGUGAUCGGCCACACGGGAGCUGAGACACGGUCCAGACUCCUACGGGAGGCAGCAGUAGGGAAUCUUCCGCAAUGGGCGAAAGCCUGACGGAGCAACGCCGCGUGAGUGAUGAAGGUCUUCGGAUCGUAAAACUCUGUUAUUAGGGAAGAACAUAUGUGUAAGUAACUGUGCACAUCUUGACGGUACCUAAUCAGAAAGCCACGGCUAACUACGUG